UUAGCUUUAAGGCCUAAUAUCACCUAAUUAUGGGACUCAAAUGAACAAGUGUGUAACUAGAGAGUUGUAGAUAUUUAAAAUAGCUUUCUAGAAAGGUAUCAUACGUGAUUUUUGGUUGAAAGAUGCAUUAUGUGGCUCUAUUUUUGUGAAAGUUGUUUCUGCUGUCAAUAUGUUGAAGUUGCGAUGAUAUAUUAUGCAUGAGUGAAUGUUCUUGCGUUCCUUUACGUGGAUUAUAUUUAUUUUGUCAGUUAAUGGUUCAAGGGUCGCUCACCUAGCCGUAAUUCCCUUAUAACCUGUGAAUGUUGUGUUGUGAAGGUUGUUGUAUAAAGAGUAUGAUAAGACUCUAGGAUUGACUUUAGAGACUUAACAAAGAGAAAAGUGUAAUAAACUCGCUUGCAAGUAAAUGUGAAUAAUUUGGACAUAGGUCAGGUAGACUAUGGUCCUUGAGAACGAUGGUACCUUGCACGCGAGGGAGUUAUUUGGGUUGACUGCGGUCUCCCGUGAACCUUGUGGGCCGGUGUGGCUUCACGUGAUUUGGUUGACUGCGGUCACCGUGAACUUUUGUGGAUCAUUGCGGCUCCACGUGAUUUGGUUGACUGCGGUCACCGUGAUAAUCGUGCCUCUGCGGAAGCACGAAGAUGGCCAUGAAAGUUUUGGUGGGUUGUGUGAAGUGAGAUUCCGUUAGUAACUGACUCUUUCCCAUAAAAGACAUAUAAUGUACUUAUAUUAUAUAUGUUGUUGUUGAUUUUGUCAUUAUCAUUCUUUUGUUGGACCUGACCCUGCUUGUUUGCUAUGUGUUUAUUUGGGGGGGGUAGAUGGUCGUGAAGAAAAUGGCGACGACUCAUUCUUGGGAGUUGAUGCUACGUGACGAGCCACUACAGAUGACGACUACACUUCUGAUGAAGAGGAAGAAGAUAAAGAGGAAGGGGCCAAGGAUAUGGUUGGGUUGUGAGACAUCCAUUUUUCUUUUGGGUUGAGAGUACCGAGUUUUGGAAGUAUUGAACCAUUACUUUAUUUUAGUUGAGAUAGUUUAACUUGAUGUAAUUUACUUUGAAGUUUUCUUCCGGAUAUUUAUUUCAUACUCUUUUCAAUGAUUAAUAAAGUUUGAGGUUUACGUUGAUGAUUAUUUCUGCAAGUUUGAAAUGGUUAAGUUUCGAGAAUUUUGUAAAAUUGAACUUUUAUCAUUAAUUCAAGAUUAAUAAGUGAAUCGACGAAAACUCUUUACGAAAAUUGGUUAAUUAGUUACUGAGUAACACUCGAGAAAUCGGGGCGUUACAUUGUGGUAUCAGAGCUCCGGUUGAGAAACCAGAGCACUAAGGGUUUUGGGCUUAUGAGUUUCCGAACUCGUUUAUGUUUUUGUUUUUGAUAAAGAUGUUUUCAAAGCUUCGCGGUGAGAUUGGGUAGACUUGUGUGCUAAGAUGUUUGCUUGACUUUCGGAUUGUCUGAAAUUAGUAUCAUUGUCGUGAUACUUGAGAUUGCCGAAGAGUGUGUGAAAAAGUUAGGAUUGCUAACUGCUGAUUUACCCUUCGAUCUGGUGGUACCCCUGCCACUGAUCAAUUAGUUACACGCACGACAUGCUUACAAUGUCCGUUGGUUUACGAGGAUCAGAAGUUCUUUGCCAACCUCGUCUGUUUAGGGCUCAAAGAGCUUGAUGUGAUCUUGGGAAUGGAUUGGUUAGCGCAAUAUCACGUGCUCUUAGAUUGUGCUAACUAGGCGGUGGUAUUCCCAGAUCCCGGCGUUACGGAUUACUUAAAUUCGUACAACCUGGGGAAGGGUUCACCGGCGUAUGUGAACUCUAUCGUUGCCGAAGCAAAACAUGAUGGUGAUGUGCGCAAUAUCUUGGUGGUACAGGAGUAUGUCGAUGUGUUCCCAGAAGAUGUACCCGGCUUGCCACCAGUCAGAGAGACGGAGUUCUCUAUUGACAUUGUGCCCGGUACUGGACCAAUAUCAAUGGCACCUUAUCGUAUGGCCCCAGCGGAGUUGGCAGAAUUGGCACAGCAGUUGGAUGAUCUAUCCUCAAAGGGAUUCAUUCGACCCAGCGUAUUGCCAUGGGGUGCACCUGUGCUAUUGGUAAAGAAGAAGGAUGGGAAGUCCAGAUUGUGUGUGGAUUACCGACAGCUGAAUAAGGUGACAGUGAAGAACCGUUAUCCGAUGCCUCGGAUAGACGACUUAAUGGAUCAACUUAGAGGAGCGGUGAUCUUCUCGAAGAUAGAUCUUAAGUCAGGAUACCAUCAGAUCCGAGUCAAGGAAUCUGACAUCCAGAAGACCGCAUUCAGGACUCGAUACGGGCAUUAUGAAUAUCUUGUGAUGCCGUUUGGGGUUACUAAUGCACCCGUUGUAUUCAUGGACUACAUGAACCGUGAAUUCAGGCCAUUCCUGGACAAGUUCAUGGUGGUGUUCAUUGGUGAUAUUUUGAUUUACUCGAAGAGUAAGGAAGAACACGAAGAGCAUUUGCGUCAAGUGCUAGGAGUAUUGCGGGAGAAGGAGCUAUAUGCUAACGGCUCGAAGUGUGAAUUCUGGAUGGAAGAGGUGAGGUUCCUAGGUCAUGUCAUAUCAAGUCAGGGUGUGGCUGUUGACCCUAGCAAGAUCGAGACGAUUCGGUCAUGGGAGCAACCAAAGACAGCAAGCGACAUCAGAAGUUUUGUCGGGCUUGCAGGCUACUAUAGGCGAUUCGUCAAAGAUUACGCAAAGUUGACUUCGCCGUUGACCCAGUUGACAAAGAAGAAUCAACCGUUUGCGUGGACGGAGAAGUGUGAGGCUAGUUUCCAGGAGUUGAAGAAGCGGCUGACCACCGCACCCAUACUAGCUUUACCUAAGGAAGGAGAACCUUAUGACGUGUAUUGUGAUGCGUCACACAAUGGUUUGGGUUGUGUAAUGAUGCAAGAUAAGAAAGCAAUUGCCUAUGCUUCAAGGCAGUUGAAGACUCAUGAGAAGAACUACCCCACACAUGACUUGGAGUUGGCUGCCAUAGUUUAUGCUCUCAAGAUUUGGAGACACUAUCUCUAUGGCAGUAUGUUCACGAUCUACAGCGAUCAUAAGAGUUUAAAGUACUUAUUUGAUCAAAAGGAUCUGAACAUGAGGCAGCGGAGGUGGAUGGAAUUCCUUCAGGACUAUGAGUUCACUCUACAGUACCAUCCGGGGAAAAGCAAUGUCGUAGCCGACGCUCUCAGCCGGAAGGCUAUACAUGUGUCCUCAAUGAUGGUUAAGGAGUUAGAACUGUUGGAGGCUUUCCGAGAUCUGAGCUUGGACGUUAAGCUCGCACCAGGAAGACUGAGUUUCGGAAUGGUGACGGUGUCAAGUGGACUUGUGGAAGAGAUCAAGUCUAGACAAGAGACUGAUGAAGGGAUAGCUGAGUGGCGAGACCGUGUGACUCAGGGAAAGGCACCAGAGUUCUCUAUUGGGAAUGACAAUAUUCUGCGAUGCAAGGGACAGAUAUGUGUGCCUGACAAUGCAGAGAUGAGAAGAUUGAUCCUGGAUGAGGGACACAAGAGUAGACUGAGUAUCCAUCCCGUAAUGAACAAGAUGUAUCAGGACUUGAAACUUCACUUCUGGUGGCCUGGGAUGAAGAAGCAGGUUGCUGAGUAUGUUUCUACUUGCCUGACAUGUCAGAAGGCGAAGGUAGAGCAUCAGAAGCCCGCAGGGAAGCUGCAACCACUAGAUGUCCCAGAGUGGAAGUGGGACAGCAUUUCUAUGGACUUCGUGACGGCGUUACCUUUAACUCGGAGGAAGUUCGAUGCAAUUUGGGUUGUUGUUGAUCGUUUGACAAAGACCGCUCAUUUUAUCCCGAUCAACCUGAAGUACAAGGUGGAGAAAUUGGCGGAGAUUUAUGUGGCUGAGGUUGUACGUCUACAUGGUGUACCGACCAGCAUCGUGUCAGACAGAGAUCCGAGGUUUACCUCUCACUUUUGGGGAGCCUUGCAGCAGGCCCUCGGAACUAAGUUGAGGUUGAGCUCUGCCUAUCAUCCCCAAACCGAUGGGCAGACAGAGAGGACAAUCCAGUCGCUGGAAGAUUUGCUACGGGCCUGUGUGUUGGAUCACAAGGGCAGUUGGGAUGAGAUGCUGCCAUUGAUCGAAUUCACUUACAACAAUAGUUUCCAUGCGAGCAUCGGCAUGGCACCUUACGAAGCUUUGUACGGUCGGAGGUGUCGUACGCCCUUAUGCUGGCAUCAAGAUGGAGAAAGUUUGGUGAUUGGCCCGGAAUUGGUGCAACAGACCACCGAGGAAGUCAGGAGAAUUCAGGAAAAGAUGAGAACCGCGCAGAGUCGCCAAAAGAGUUACGCCGACAACCGACGAAAGGAGUUGAAAUUUCAGGCCGGAGACCAUGUCUUCUUGCGGGUUACCCCGAUGACAGGUGUCGGAAGGGCAAUCAAGUCCAAGAAGCUUACUCCGAAGUUUAUUGGGCCGUACCAGAUCACGGAGCGAGUUGGACCGGUGGCGUACAGGAUCGCCCUACCACCGUUUCUAUCCAACAUCCAUGACGUUCUUCAUGUGUCGCAGUUGCGGAAGUACAUGGCAGAUGAUUCGCAUGUGAUUACGCCUGACGACAUACAGCUGAGAGAUGAUCUGACAAUGGAGGUGUCACCCAUCAAGAUCGUCAACCGAAGCAUAAAGCUCUUAAGAAACAAGGAGGUGCCUUUAGUGAAGGUCGUGUGGAACCAAGAGACUGGUGACGCGACCUGGGAGUUAGAGGAUAAGAUGCGGGAGUCACACCCCGAUUUAUUUGUAAACCCUUAAGUUUCGAGGGCGAAACUAUUUUUAAGGGGGGUGGUAUUGUAAGGCCCUAAGUUCAAUUUGGAACAAUUUUAUGGAAGUUUGAAUAAAAUUGAAGUUUUAGCUAAUGUUUGAUAACUGGCAGAUUAGAACUGUCAACUUGUGCGAAUUUUUAGAGGGUCUUAACGACUUCAUUUGGGAAAACUUCCUUCAUGAGAGUUGUAGCCCUUUAAGUUAAGAAAAUUCUCGUUGUGGUUUCGUGUAAAUCCGAUAUCUGUAGCUCCAGAUAUCCCUGUUUUAAUGAGCAAAGGUCGGGCUGUACAGUACCAGCGAACUAGAUGAGGAGUUUUUAUUUUAAUUCCGAUUUUGCUUCUGUUUUUACAUAGAAGGACUUGGGUUUUAAUUGAGUUUAGACCAGAUUAAGAACUAAACUGAUGGGCCAAGGGUUCGGGCUUGAAAAGAAUAUUGAAACCCUAGCCCACUAGGUUGUGUGUGUUGCGGGUUCAAGAGGGGUAAAGGGGGGAAACUUGUUUCUUUUCUCCAUAUCAGAAACAGAAAACUAGAGCACUCUUUACGUAAGAAAACAGAAGAGAAAAGAGUGAGAGAACCACCCCUUGCACCCUUAGCCGCCGCCGACCAAGCCAUCACCGCCACCUUGUGCGCGCGCGAGAGAGAGAGAGGGAGACCUGCGAGAGAGAGAGCUCGAGUAGGAGGGAAGAGAGGGACGAGGACAGCAAGCUACUGAGCUCUGAACCUGCAAUCUUUUCUCCUUUUCAGACCAAGAACCCGAGGUAAGGGCUGGUUCUAGGAAUGGGUAGGUUCUUUAGGGAAUAUGCCAUGAAUUGCCAUGAGAAACAACUUGAGUUUUGGACUGUUUUUGCAUGAUUUCCUGUACAUGCUUGCUUGCUGGAAUUUUUCUCUUGAAUAGCCAUGAAUAUGAUCCUCAAACGUUGUUUAUGAUCUGAAUCUAUGAUUUUAUGCGAGUUGUCAUGGUAUUUGUUAAGUUUUGUGCUAUUUUGCACUUGUUAUAACAUGAUCCUUGCUAAAUGUUUGGUUCUGAAAUUUUGAGUGGAUAUUUGGGUUGUUGGGGCUGUACCAAGAUUGCCAUGAUCAAAGGGGAAGGAAGGAAAAUUAUUUUUGAAAACCAUAGAGCCAUGGGAGUUUCGCUGCCAGUUUCCUGUACUGGACAGCGGACUUCAGAGCCCCUUUUUACCUGUUUAUGGUCAUCAAAUGAAAAAGUGAUUAAAAUGAAAGUUGUAGAUUUUCGAAAUAUCUUUCCAGACAUAUAAAAAACAUAGUUUUUGGUUUAGUAAUGUGAUCUGGGGGUCGUGUUUAGUAACUGUCACACCUGCUGUUUUUCCUGUUCCGGACAGUUAGCUUUAAGGCCUAAUAUCACCUAAUUAUGGGACUCAAAUGAACAAGUGUGUAUCUAGAGAGUUGUAGAUAUUUAAAAUAGCUUUCUAGAAAGGUAUCAUACGUGAUUUUUGGUUGAAAGAUGCAUUUUGUGGCUCUAUUUUUGUGAAAGUUGUUUCUGCUGUCAAUAUGUUGAAGUUGCGAUGAUAUAUUAUGCAUGAGUGAAUGUUCUUGCGUUCCUUUACGUGGAUUAUAUUUAUUUUCUCAGUUAAUGGUUCAAGGGU
RNAcentral lists this long non-coding RNA (6347 nucleotides) under Lotus japonicus. RNAcentral's name for it is "long non-coding RNA (LJAP_LNC001336)". The record is from RNAcentral. Lineage: Eukaryota; Viridiplantae; Streptophyta; Magnoliopsida; Fabales; Fabaceae.